Molecule: ribosomal RNA, 513 nt
Filed under: Parnassius patricius uzyngyrus
Lineage: Eukaryota; Metazoa; Arthropoda; Insecta; Lepidoptera; Papilionidae
Description: partial 16S ribosomal RNA
Rfam family: Bacterial large subunit ribosomal RNA (bases 386-513)
Source: RNAcentral
UUUUUGAUUAAUAAUUUAAAGUCUAAUCUGCCCACUGAUAAUAUAUUAAAGGGCUGCAGUAUUUUGACUGUACAAAGGUAGCAUAAUCAAUAGUCUCUUAAUUGGUGACUUGUAUGAAGGAUUUAAUGAGAUAUAUACUGUCUCUUUUUAAUUUGUAAAAUUUAAUUUUUUAGUUAAAAAGCUAAAAUAUAUUUAAAAGACGAGAAGACCCUAUAGAGUUUAAUAUUUAAUUAAAUUAGAAUUAUUUAUAAAAUUUAAAGUUUUAAUUUAUAAUAAAUAUUUUGUUGGGGUGAUAAAAAAAUUAAAAGAACUUUUUUUAUAGAUUUACAUUAAUAAGUGAAUAAAUGAUCCGUAAUUUACGAUUAAAAGAAAAAAUUACCUUAGGGAUAACAGCGUAAUUUUUUUUUUUAGUUCAAAUAAGAAAAAAAGUUUGCGACCUCGAUGUUGGAUUAAGAUAAAAUUUAAAUGCAAAAGUUUAAAAUUUUUGAUCUGUUCGAUCAUUAAAAUCUUACA